Molecule: ribosomal RNA, 499 nt
Filed under: uncultured bacterium
Lineage: Bacteria
Description: partial 16S ribosomal RNA
Rfam family: Bacterial small subunit ribosomal RNA
Source: RNAcentral
ACUCAAAUGAAUAGACGGGGGCCCGCACAAGCGGUGGAGCAUGUGGAUUAAUUCGUCACUAACCGAAGAACCUUACCCAGGCUUGACAUCGCGUGUAACUCUGUGAAAGCAGAGCCCUCUCGCAAGAGAGCACAAAGACAGGUGUUGCAUGGCUGUCGUCAGCUCGUGUCGUGAGAUGUUGGGUUAAGUCCCGCAACGAGCGCAACCCUCACCGUAUGUUGGCAGCGUUAAGUCGGCAACUCUUACGGAACUGCCCGUGCAAGCGGGAGGAAGGUGGGGACGACGUCAAGUCGGCAUGGCCCUUACGCCUGGGGCUUCACACAUGCUACAAUGGGCGGGGCAGAGCGCACCGAUACCGCGAGGUGGAGGCAAUCGCACAAACCCGUCCUCAGUUCGGAUUGCAGGCUGCAACUCGCCUGCAUGAAGCCGGAAUCGCUAGUAACCGCAGGUCAGCGAAACUGCGGUGAAUACGUUCCCGGGCCUUGUACACACCGCCCGU